GCCAGGCAUGCUGGUGCACGUCUGUAAUCCCAGCUACUCAGGAGGCUGAGGUGGGAUAAUCGUUAGUGCCCAGGAGCUCUAGGAUGUCGUGAGCUAUGCUGAUUGCAUUUCCACACUAAGUUUGGCAUUAAUUUGGUGACCUCCCAAGAGUAGGGGACCACCACCAGGCUGGAAAUGGAGCAGGUCAAAACUCCUGUGCUAGGCCAGGCACGGGGUGGCUCACGCCUGUAAUCCCAGCCGAGGCAGGUGGAUCACUUGAGGUCAAGAGUUCAAGACAAGCCUGGUCGACAUGGUGAAACCAUGUCUCU
Molecule: small RNA, 308 nt
Filed under: Saimiri boliviensis boliviensis (Bolivian squirrel monkey)
Lineage: Eukaryota; Metazoa; Chordata; Mammalia; Primates; Cebidae
Description: Metazoan signal recognition particle RNA (ENSSBOG00000005554.1)
Source: RNAcentral